RNAcentral lists this long non-coding RNA (1764 nucleotides) under Nicotiana tabacum (common tobacco). RNAcentral describes it as "long non-coding RNA (NTAB_LNC012282)". The record is from RNAcentral. Lineage: Eukaryota; Viridiplantae; Streptophyta; Magnoliopsida; Solanales; Solanaceae.
CAUAAGCUUCUACAAAUAGUGGCCCCAGUUGUGCAGAUAUCGCAUUCUCAGGCUGAACUUGCUCCAGUUUCUCGAGAAAAAACUUUACAUCUGCUAGAUGCUCUGCAGCAUCAUACAAUUGCUUAAUUGUCCAACUAUCUACAAGCUCCGUCAUGUUCUGACACUCCCUGGCCAUCUACUUUCCACCUUUUUAGUUUCCUUGAAUUGUUGUUCGUAAUGAAUCCUGCAAGUAACAAAAUCAAUAUUUUCGGAGCAUGACACUACAAUAUUUCAUGCAGUUUACUGAUUCCAUUACGGCAUUACCCUUAAAACGGCAAAGAUUCCACCAUUUACAAUUUAAACUUUUACCCAUUUUUUUUAAUCUUUACAAGUGCAUCAAGGGCCUAGAUGUUACAAGUAUACACCAAACAAAGUUGGGAUACCUUUGCAAUUAUCUGUUUUCCAAUUUCCAAGAGCAAAUCAGGGGUGAAAAUCUCCAUUAUAAUCUAUUUGCGACAACUGUGUGCAGCUGCAGCUAAAAUAUGGUCAAAGAAGUGUCUUGUCUCAACCUUUGGACUCUUUCAAGAACUUUGGUAAUUAUGGUUCCUACCCUAUACAGUGGCCAGAGGAAUUUGGAACAUGUAAGGUGGGGGUGACCAACUUAUAACUUUUUUGUUGAUUUAAACUUAUAAGCACUUUGGAUGUUUACCAAACCCGUAGAUACACGAAAAGGUGCUUGUGAGCCAAUUUGACCUGCUUAUAGUCAACCAAACAUCCUCUCACUCAUCAAUACUUUUGUACUUUGCAUCCUAUGGAUGCCUCUUAUUAAUAACACUUAUAGUUUACCUUAUAAAAUGAAACAUCUUAGGUACUAAAAGCUACGAGCAAAACAUAAUAAAUUGGUAAAGAAAGAUAUUGACCUUGGUAACUUCAGCAGAGGUGAUCGGAGUAAAAGCUUCAAGAAGCAAGAGCCAGUCUUGUAUCUCCAACCUAUCACCCCAUAAGAAAAGUGCAUUUCUCAAGAAUCACACAAAAGAGAACAAGAUAUCCGAAACUUUUGGUUUUCUCAUUUCUUUUCUACUUUCCAUCAGAGUAAAGUAUUACAUAGUGGCGCAGCCAGAAAUUCUAACAAGAGAAUUCAGAAACAUGCAACUUGUACAAUGAGUGAGCACAGUUAGGGAGAUUCAACAGUUCAUUUAUAUACAACAACAACAACCAAAAAAAAAAACGAGUGGAAGUCCAAAUGUGGGGUAUGGGGAGGUAGGUAUAUGCAGACCUUAUCCUCGAGAUCUUUACACAUAUAGUUUGUCAUAUUCCUUAUUUAUUUUUUUUAGCCAUAUACAUACAUUAUACAUUAAUUAUAUACAUAUAAUACAUAAAUAAAUUAUGCAUAUAUUAUACCUGUAUCAGUUAUUUUUAGUUUACGUGGUCGGGUGAGCGGCUAUUUAGGUAAAUUCUUACUUAUCCUACCUUACGAAGUUAGAGUUAUAUUUACAAAAUAAUUUAUGUUUAGCUUGUUUGUAUAGUGUAAAAUGAAGAAAAGAAAGACACUGCUACAACUUACUUUCAUAUUGGUGGAAGGAAACCCAAUAUCAAACACCUUUGUACAGUGAUUGAAGUGCUCAAACGCCCAAGACACAAAAUCCAGCGCCUGAACCUAACAAUGUAAAAGGAGGGAAAGUAAUAUGUUUACUUUAUUUUUGAUAAAAUUAAAAAAAAAAAAAAAGAGCUUAUUCCCGAUAUAGUUCAUAAGAACCGAGACUAAUGAAGAAGACUUGACCAGUG